CCAGAAGUAGGGGAUAACACCUGGAAACAGAUGCUAAUACCGUAUAACAGAGAAAACCGCAUGGUUUUCUUUUAAAAGAUGGCUCUGCUAUCACUUCUGGAUGGACCCGCGGCGUAUUAGCUAGUUGGUGAGGUAAAGGCUCACCAAGGCAGUGAUACGUAGCCGACCUGAGAGGGUAAUCGGCCACAUUGGGACUGAGACACGGCCCAGACUCCUACGGGAGGCAGCAGUAGGGAAUCUUCCACAAUGGACGCAAGUCUGAUGGAGCAACGCCGCGUGAGUGAAGAAGGGUUUCGGCUCGUAAAGCUCUGUUGUUAAAGAAGAACGUGGGUAAGAGUAACUGUUUACCCAGUGACGGUAUUUAACCAGAAAGCCACGGCUAACUACGUGCCAGCAGCCGCGGUAAUACGUAGGUGGCAAGCGUUAUCCGGAUUUAUUGGGCGUAAAGCGAGCGCAGGCGGUCUUUUAAGUCUAAUGUGAAAGCCUUCGGCUCAACCGAAGAAGUGCAUUGGAAACUGGGAGACUUGAGUGCAGAAGAGGACAGUGGAACUCCAUGUGUAGCGGUGAAAU
Molecule: ribosomal RNA, 570 nt
Filed under: Pediococcus pentosaceus
Lineage: Bacteria; Bacillati; Bacillota; Bacilli; Lactobacillales; Lactobacillaceae
Description: bacterial SSU rRNA
Rfam family: Bacterial small subunit ribosomal RNA
Source: RNAcentral